GUUCUGCAUGGCAGAGUGGUUUGUGUGUUGGACUGUGACUCUGGAGACCAAGGUUUGAUUCCCAGUUCAACCA
This 73-nucleotide transfer RNA is filed under the name Phrynosoma platyrhinos (Desert horned lizard). RNAcentral describes it as "tRNA-OTHER". The record is from RNAcentral. Lineage: Eukaryota; Metazoa; Chordata; Lepidosauria; Squamata; Phrynosomatidae.